UUUCCGUAGGUGAACCUGCGGAAGGAUCAUUAAAAAAUGUGGUACCAUUAUUGGUACUAAUUAAUCAUCCUACCUUUGUGAAUUUGUUUGUAAGAAUUUUUUUAAAUGGGUCUUUCCCUAAGUUGGAUUGUUAGUAAAAUACAAAAGACUUAGGGAAUGACUUUUUUAAAAGACUUUUUUUUAAUUAAAACUUUUUGUAUUCAUUUGUUUAAAAUUUAUUUUUAUAAUAUAAAAACAACUUUUGACAAUGGAUCUCUUGGUUCUCGCAACGAUGAAGAACGCAGCAAAAUGCGAUAAGUAGUGUGAAUUGCAGAAUACGUGAAUCAUCGAAUCUUCGAACGCAUAUUGCACUUUUUAGUUUACUAAAAAAGUAUGUCUGUUUGAGUAUCAGUAAAAUAUUCUCACAAACAUGUAUUGUUUGUGGUUAUGAGUGUUUUACAACGAUAAACAAGUUGUUUCACUUUAAAUUCUUUUUAAUUGAAUUUUACCAAUUCAUAAAUUAAAAUUGGAUAAAAUUUUCCUUUAACGAGGAAUAACCUAAACAAUUUUAAAUUUUAUGGAUUAAUUACAUUCAUCAAAGGAAUCUAUACAACAAAUAACUUGAUCUCAAAUCAGAUAAGAGUACCGCUGAACUUAAGCAUAUCAAUAAGCGGAGGAAAAGAAACUAACAAGGAUUCCUUAGUAACGGCGAGUGAAGCGGGAAGAGCUCAAAUUUGAAAUCUUCAAGGUUUGACCUUGACGAAUUGUAGUUUAUAGAAGUGUUUUCUGUUGGAGUUUUGGUAAAAGUUCUUUUGGAAUAGGACAUCAUAGAGGGUGAGAAUCCGUAUUUGACCAUGACUUUCCAGCUGUGUGAUACACUUUCAAAGAGUCGGAUUGUUUGGGAAUGCAGUCCAAAAUGGGUGGUAAAUUUCAUCUAAAGCUAAAUAUUGGCGAGAGACCGAUAGCGAACAAGUACCAGUGAGGGAAAGAUGAAAAGAACUUUGAAAAGAGAGUUAAACAGUACGUGAAAUUGUCAAAAGGGAAGCGUUUGACACCAGUGUUGUUUUCUCGAAAAUCAAUUUAAUGAGUUCUUGUUUUUAAGUUAUUGUGACUUUAUCAGCGCAUUUCUUAUUUUACUUGACUCAUUGAAUGCGCUUUUCGUUUAACAAGUCAACAUCAAUUUCUUUGGUGGUAAAAAGUUUAAAGGAAGGUGGCUUGGACUUCGGUUCAAGUGUUUAUAGCCUUUUUUCUAUGCCAUCGGAGAGAUUGAGGUCUGCAGCGUAGAUCCUUCGGGGUUAGAUACUUUGUGCUAAGUUAUAGUUUUUUUAUAGACAACUUGUUGACUAUAAUUAACCCUGUAAUUUACUCGCUUAGGCUAUUUUACCUACGCUUAGGAUGUUG
This 1380-nucleotide unclassified non-coding RNA is filed under the name uncultured Neocallimastigales. RNAcentral describes it as "partial contains small subunit ribosomal RNA, internal transcribed spacer 1, 5.8S ribosomal RNA, internal transcribed spacer 2, and large subunit ribosomal RNA". The stretch from base 602 to 1380 matches the Rfam family "Eukaryotic large subunit ribosomal RNA", at positions 1 to 628 of the family's 3401-position model. Lineage: Eukaryota; Fungi; Neocallimastigomycota; Neocallimastigomycetes; Neocallimastigales. The record is from RNAcentral.